ACUAUUUUGGCAGAUAAGUGCAUUGGAUUUAGAAUCUAUAAAUGUAAAUUAAUAUUUUACAAGUAGUA
RNAcentral lists this transfer RNA (68 nucleotides) under Furculitermes winifredae. RNAcentral's name for it is "tRNA-Leu". It matches the Rfam family "tRNA". Rfam says of the family: Transfer RNA (tRNA) molecules are approximately 80 nucleotides in length. Their secondary structure includes four short double-helical elements and three loops (D, anti-codon, and T loops). Lineage: Eukaryota; Metazoa; Arthropoda; Insecta; Blattodea; Termitidae. The record is from RNAcentral.